GGGUUGUGAGGUUAAGCGACUAAGCGUACACGGUGGAUGCCCUGGCAGUCAGAGGCGAUGAAGGACGUGCUAAUCUGCGAUAAGCGUCGGUAAGGUGAUAUGAACCGUUAUAACCGGCGAUUUCCGAAUGGGGAAACCCAGUGUGUUUCGACACACUAUCAUUAACUGAAUCCAUAGGUUAAUGAGGCGAACCGGGGGAACUGAAACAUCUAAGUACCCCGAGGAAAAGAAAUCAACCGAGAUUCCCCCAGUAGCGGCGAGCGAACGGGGAGCAGCCCAGAGCCUGAAUCAGUGUGUGUGUUAGUGGAAGCGUCUGGAAAGGCGCGCGAUACAGGGUGACAGCCCCGUACACAAAAAUGCACAUACUGUGAGCUCGAUGAGUAGGGCGGGACACGUGGUAUCCUGUCUGAAUAUGGGGGGACCAUCCUCCAAGGCUAAAUACUCCUGACUGACCGAUAGUGAACCAGUACCGUGAGGGAAAGGCGAAAAGAACCCCGGCGAGGGGAGUGAAAAAGAACCUGAAACCGUGUACGUACAAGCAGUGGGAGCACGCUUCGGCGUGUGACUGCGUACCUUUUGUAUAAUGGGUCAGCGACUUAUAUUCUGUAGCAAGGUUAACCGAAUAGGGGAGCCGAAGGGAAACCGAGUCUUAACUGGGCGUUAAGUUGCAGGGUAUAGACCCGAAACCCGGUGAUCUAGCCAUGGGCAGGUUGAAGGUUGGGUAACACUAACUGGAGGACCGAACCGACUAAUGUUGAAAAAUUAGCGGAUGACUUGUGGCUGGGGGUGAAAGGCCAAUCAAACCGGGAGAUAGCUGGUUCUCCCCGAAAGCUAUUUAGGUAGCGCCUCGUGAAUUCAUCUCCGGGGGUAGAGCACUGUUUCGGCAAGGGGGUCAUCCCGACUUACCAACCCGAUGCAAACUGCGAAUACCGGAGAAUGUUAUCACGGGAGACACACGGCGGGUGCUAACGUCCGUCGUGAAGAGGGAAACAACCCAGACCGCCAGCUAAGGUCCCAAAGUCAUGGUUAAGUGGGAAACGAUGUGGGAAGGCCCAGACAGCCAGGAUGUUGGCUUAGAAGCAGCCAUCAUUUAAAGAAAGCGUAAUAGCUCACUGGUCGAGUCGGCCUGCGCGGAAGAUGUAACGGGGCUAAACCAUGCACCGAAGCUGCGGCAGCGACACUAUGUGUUGUUGGGUAGGGGAGCGUUCUGUAAGCCUGUGAAGGUGUGCUGUGAGGCAUGCUGGAGGUAUCAGAAGUGCGAAUGCUGACAUAAGUAACGAUAAAGCGGGUGAAAAGCCCGCUCGCCGGAAGACCAAGGGUUCCUGUCCAACGUUAAUCGGGGCAGGGUGAGUCGACCCCUAAGGCGAGGCCGAAAGGCGUAGUCGAUGGGAAACAGGUUAAUAUUCCUGUACUUGGUGUUACUGCGAAGGGGGACGGAGAAGGCUAUGUUGGCCGGGCGACGGUUGUCCCGGUUUAAGCGUGUAGGCUGGUUUUCCAGGCAAAUCCGGAAAAUCAAGGCUGAGGCGUGAUGACGAGGCACUACGGUGCUGAAGCAACAAAUGCCCUGCUUCCAGGAAAAGCCUCUAAGCAUCAGGUAACAUUAAAUCGUACCCCAAACCGACACAGGUGGUCAGGUAGAGAAUACCAAGGCGCUUGAGAGAACUCGGGUGAAGGAACUAGGCAAAAUGGUGCCGUAACUUCGGGAGAAGGCACGCUGAUAUGUAGGUGAAGUCCCUCGCGGAUGGAGCUGAAAUCAGUCGAAGAUACCAGCUGGCUGCAACUGUUUAUUAAAAACACAGCACUGUGCAAACACGAAAGUGGACGUAUACGGUGUGACGCCUGCCCGGUGCCGGAAGGUUAAUUGAUGGGGUUAGCGGUAACGCGAAGCUCUUGAUCGAAGCCCCGGUAAACGGCGGCCGUAACUAUAACGGUCCUAAGGUAGCGAAAUUCCUUGUCGGGUAAGUUCCGACCUGCACGAAUGGCGUAAUGAUGGCCAGGCUGUCUCCACCCGAGACUCAGUGAAAUUGAACUCGCUGUGAAGAUGCAGUGUACCCGCGGCAAGACGGAAAGACCCCGUGAACCUUUACUAUAGCUUGACACUGAACAUUGAGCCUUGAUGUGUAGGAUAGGUGGGAGGCUUUGAAGUGUGGACGCCAGUCUGCAUGGAGCCGACCUUGAAAUACCACCCUUUAAUGUUUGAUGUUCUAACGUUGACCCGUAAUCCGGGUUGCGGACAGUGUCUGGUGGGUAGUUUGACUGGGGCGGUCUCCUCCUAAAGAGUAACGGAGGAGCACGAAGGUUGGCUAAUCCUGGUCGGACAUCAGGAGGUUAGUGCAAUGGCAUAAGCCAGCUUGACUGCGAGCGUGACGGCGCGAGCAGGUGCGAAAGCAGGUCAUAGUGAUCCGGUGGUUCUGAAUGGAAGGGCCAUCGCUCAACGGAUAAAAGGUACUCCGGGGAUAACAGGCUGAUACCGCCCAAGAGUUCAUAUCGACGGCGGUGUUUGGCACCUCGAUGUCGGCUCAUCACAUCCUGGGGCUGAAGUAGGUCCCAAGGGUAUGGCUGUUCGCCAUUUAAAGUGGUACGCGAGCUGGGUUUAGAACGUCGUGAGACAGUUCGGUCCCUAUCUGCCGUGGGCGCUGGAGAACUGAGGGGGGCUGCUCCUAGUACGAGAGGACCGGAGUGGACGCAUCACUGGUGUUCGGGUUGUCAUGCCAAUGGCACUGCCCGGUAGCUAAAUGCGGAAGAGAUAAGUGCUGAAAGCAUCUAAGCACGAAACUUGCCCCGAGAUGAGUUCUCCCUGACUCCUUGAGAGUCCUGAAGGAACGUUGAAGACGACGACGUUGAUAGGCCGGGUGUGUAAGCGCAGCGAUGCGUUGAGCUAACCGGUACUAAUGAACCGUGAGGCUUAACCUUACAACGCCGAAGGUGUUU
RNAcentral lists this ribosomal RNA (2931 nucleotides) under Escherichia coli O145. RNAcentral describes it as "23S ribosomal RNA". It matches the Rfam family "Bacterial large subunit ribosomal RNA". Lineage: Bacteria; Pseudomonadati; Pseudomonadota; Gammaproteobacteria; Enterobacterales; Enterobacteriaceae. The record is from RNAcentral.